CAGUAGCCGCGGUAACACGGGGGGGGCUAGCGUUGUUCGGAAUUACUGGGCGUAAAGCGCACGUAGGCGGCUUGGUAAGUUAGAGGUGAAAGCCCGGAGCUCAACUCCGGAAUUGCCUUUAAGACUGCCGAGCUAGUAGGUGAGAGAGGUAAGUGGAAUUCCGAGUGUAGAGGUGAAAUUCGUAGAUAUUCGGAAGAACACCAGUGGCGAAGACGGCUUACUGGCUCAUUCUAGACGCUGAGGUGCGAAAGCGUGGGGAGCAAACAGGAUUAGAUACCCCUGUAGUCCCUGUCUCUUAUAC
Molecule: ribosomal RNA, 301 nt
Filed under: uncultured bacterium
Lineage: Bacteria
Description: partial 16S ribosomal RNA
Rfam family: Bacterial small subunit ribosomal RNA
Source: RNAcentral